Molecule: non-coding RNA, 217 nt
Filed under: Pseudomonas sp. 9AZ
Lineage: Bacteria; Pseudomonadati; Pseudomonadota; Gammaproteobacteria; Pseudomonadales; Pseudomonadaceae
Source: RNAcentral
GCGUUUUACUUCCGCCAAGGUGCGCCCCUUCCACAGUGAAGCGGCGUUAAACGGGAAGCCGGUGCGUUCUUUUACGAACUAUCCCGGCGCUGCCCCCGCAACGGUAAUCGACCGCAGAGUCGUUCUGCACGGCACCUCAACGCCACUGGGUUAUCCCGGGAAGGCGAGGCGGCGUACGUCGAGAGCCCGGAGACCGGCCUUGCUGGAUGUGACUGGU